This 1372-nucleotide ribosomal RNA is filed under the name uncultured bacterium. RNAcentral describes it as "bacterial SSU rRNA". It matches the Rfam family "Bacterial small subunit ribosomal RNA", at positions 28 to 1381 of the family's 1533-position model. The record is from RNAcentral.
GAUGAACGCUGGCGGCGUGCCUAAUACAUGCAAGUCGAGCGAACGGACGAGAAGCUUGCUUCUCUGAUGUUAGCGGCGGACGGGUGAGUAACACGUGGAUAACCUACCUAUAAGACUGGGAUAACUUCGGGAAACCGGAGCUAAUACCGGAUAAUAUUUUGAACCGCAUGGUUCAAAAGUGAAAGACGGUCUUGCUGUCACUUAUAGAUGGAUCCGCGCUGCAUUAGCUAGUUGGUAAGGUAACGGCUUACCAAGGCAACGAUGCAUAGCCGACCUGAGAGGGUGAUCGGCCACACUGGAACUGAGACACGGUCCAGACUCCUACGGGAGGCAGCAGUAGGGAAUCUUCCGCAAUGGGCGAAAGCCUGACGGAGCAACGCCGCGUGAGUGAUGAAGGUCUUCGGAUCGUAAAACUCUGUUAUUAGGGAAGAACAUAUGUGUAAGUAACUGUGCACAUCUUGACGGUACCUAAUCAGAAAGCCACGGCUAACUACGUGCCAGCAGCCGCGGUAAUACGUAGGUGGCAAGCGUUAUCCGGAAUUAUUGGGCGUAAAGCGCGCGUGGGCGGUUUUUUAAGUCUGAUGUGAAAGCCCACGGCUCAACCGUGGAGGGUCAUUGGAAACUGGAAAACUUGAGUGCAGAAGAGGAAAGUGGAAUUCCAUGUGUAGCGGUGAAAUGCGCAGAGAUAUGGAGGAACACCAGUGGCGAAGGCGACUUUCUGGUCUGUAACUGACGCUGAUGUGCGAAAGCGUGGGGAUCAAACAGGAUUAGAUACCCUGGUAGUCCACGCCGUAAACGAUGAGUGCUAAGUGUUAGGGGGUUUCCGCCCCUUAGUGCUGCAGCUAACGCAUUAAGCACUCCGCCUGGGGAGUACGACCGCAAGGUUGAAACUCAAAGGAAUUGACGGGGACCCGCACAAGCGGUGGAGCAUGUGGUUUAAUUCGAAGCAACGCGAAGAACCUUACCAAAUCUUGACAUCCUUUGACAACUCUAGAGAUAGAGCUUUCCCCUUCGGGGGACAAAGUGACAGGUGGUGCAUGGUUGUCGUCAGCUCGUGUCGUGAGAUGUUGGGUUAAGUCCCGCAACGAGCGCAACCCUUAAGCUUAGUUGCCAUCAUUAAGUUGGGCACUCUAAGUUGACUGCCGGUGACAAACCGGAGGAAGGUGGGGAUGACGUCAAAUCAUCAUGCCCCUUAUGAUUUGGGCUACACACGUGCUACAAUGGACAAUACAAAGGGCAGCGAAACCGUGAGGUCAAGCAAAUCCCAUAAAGUUGUUCUCAGUUCGGAUUGUAGUCUGCAACUCGACUACAUGAAGCUGGAAUCGCUAGUAAUCGUAGAUCAGCAUGCUACGGUGAAUACGUUCCCGGGUCU